UACGGAGGGAGCUAGCGUUGUUCGGAAUUACUGGGCGUAAAGCGCACGUAGGCGGCUUUGUAAGUUAGAGGUGAAAGCCCGGGGCUCAACCCCGGAAUUGCCUUUAAGACUGCAUCGCUUGAAUCCGGGAGAGGUGAGUGGAAUUCCGAGUGUAGAGGUGAAAUUCGUAGAUAUUCGGAAGAACACCAGUGGCGAAGGCGGCUCACUGGACCGGUAUUGACGCUGAGGUGCGAAAGCGUGGGGAGCGAACAGG
This 253-nucleotide ribosomal RNA is filed under the name uncultured bacterium. RNAcentral's name for it is "partial 16S ribosomal RNA". It matches the Rfam family "Bacterial small subunit ribosomal RNA", at positions 524 to 776 of the family's 1533-position model. The record is from RNAcentral.